CUUUAGAAAAAGGAGCAUCUGUAAAUUCAGAUUUCACUAUUUCAGAGUCAGCCAGACCAUGAUUGAGCUUAAGGAUUGUGCUGCGGAUGCGGCCUGUGCAGUUCCGGGAGAAAGUCACUGUCUUGGGCAUUGCGGUCUGGUAUCAGGUCUGGAUGAUCCUUGCCUGACUCCGGGUUUGUGUACACCUCAAUCCGACUCCCUGUCCGGUACCGAGGCCGCAGUGGUGCAGCGCUUGUGGACGAUCCAUCGACAUCCUGAAAGGUCAACACUUCACCAAGCUGGGAAAAUUGAUCCUGAUAGUCAUCCCCAGGUAGUGAAAUGAAUGUACACUGAACUACAGAGGAAUCACACCCAAAUGACUUUUCCGACAUUAGUGUGGCCCCUCGGGCAGGAAUUCCUUAGCAACCAUGUUUUUUUGCAUGGGGACUGUGGCAUUUUUGCAAAACUUAAGUUUCAACGCUGGAUUUUAAAGAGAACACUUAAUAAAAUGAAGCCAACAGGACUUAUUUUAAUGAGAGAGACUAUCUGGAUGAGCAACAAAUGUCACAUUGUGUCGUAAGCUGUUGAAGGAGCGAUUUGCGCCAUUUCAAGUGUUAAUUUUGGGUAGCAGGCUUGUAUCGGCUUGAAAGCUGCAAAUUAUUCCUCUCAUCAUGAUAGCAUUAAUUAUUUUAAUUGCAAUGUGUAUGUUUAGAUUGUAAGUGAAGCUUUUAAUAAUAAUUUUCUUGAAAAACAUGAUUUUAUAUGCUGUCAGUGAGUUUUUUGUGUGAAAAAAGUGCUUAAAAUUAAAAAAAAGUCUCCUUUUUCAUCAAGAAAAGUACACUGAUUCACAAUCAAUACAUUUAUUUGGGCCUUUUGCUGAUAUAUUGGUGAAUUUCGCAUGCAAUGAUACCAGUUUUUGCCAUAAAAGUUACGCGUAACAAUAAUUAGAGACACAAAAUCAGCUGUCGUCACUUAGACUAAAAAUCAUGCAUUCCGACUUGACUGCGGCCAAUUUAGUCACCGCUUUAAAUGGCCAUUUUAAGGCCUUUUCCCCCCUCCGAAUGCACUGAAAUUGCAUAUUCAUUGUGGAAAUAGUUUAAAUCUCAUGUGGAGAAAGUUUGAAAAGGAUAGGACAAAGUUGAGUUCCCUUAAAGGUUACAUUACACUAAAUCAUUGUGUAUCCCUCCGUGGUCCAUUCGAAAGUAGUGCCUAUUUCUAAAGAGUUCCUUUUCUCUUCUUGAAUAUAAGCCAUUUAACAAUGUGAGACAUGUCUUUUGUGGUUAUUUGUAAUAUCCUGUAUGUGUCUGGAGUACUUUGAUGCCUUGGAUUGGAAGCUAACUUAAAAGAUGGACUUUUGAGGGUGUGUUUUCUAUUGUGUGGGGCUUUUGUCGAAAUUAGGAUUCCGAAACACGUUUUUCUACGGUGGGUUCAUUCGACAGCGAUUUACUUUCUUAGAAGUUGCGAGACGGUAUGUUUUUGAUUGCAAUUAUUGGAAGAGGACAGAUCCAUCUUUAAAAUGAUA
This is a long non-coding RNA of Dreissena polymorpha, 1501 nucleotides long. RefSeq lists it as uncharacterized. The record is from RefSeq and is a predicted model, not a curated record. The transcript has 2 exons. Lineage: Eukaryota; Metazoa; Mollusca; Bivalvia; Myida; Dreissenidae.